This 1210-nucleotide ribosomal RNA is filed under the name metagenome. RNAcentral describes it as "bacterial LSU rRNA". It matches the Rfam family "Bacterial large subunit ribosomal RNA", at positions 1705 to 2925 of the family's 2925-position model. The record is from RNAcentral.
CUAAGGAACUCGGCAAAAUUACCUCGUAACUUCGGAAGAAGAGGUACCCCUUCACGGGGGUUGCAAUAGAUUGACCCUGGCGACUGUUUACCAAAAACACAGGUCUCCGCUAAUUCGUAAGAAAAAGUAUGGGGGCUGACGCCUGCCCAGUGCCGGAAGGUUAAAGAAGUUGGUUAGUCCUUGGACAAAGCUAGCGACUGAAGCCCCGGUGAACGGCGGCCGUAACAAUAACGGUCCUAAGGUAGCGAAAUUCCUUGUCGGGUAAGUUCCGACCCGCACGAAAGGCGUAACGAUCAGGGUACUGUCUCGGAGAGAGGCUCGGCGAAAUAGACAUGUCUGUGAAGAUGCGGACUACCUGCACCUGGACAGAAAGACCCUAUGAAGCUUUACUGUAUCUUGGAAUUGGGUUUGGUCUUUGCAUGCGCAGGAUAGGUGGGAGGCUUUGAAGAUGAUCUUGCGGGGUCGUUGGAGCCACUGGUGAGAUACCACCCUUGCAAUGAUAAAAUCCUAACUUUGAACCGUUAUCCGGUCAAAGAACAGUUUCAGGUGGGCAGUUUGACUGGGGCGGUCGCCUCCUAAAAGGUAACGGAGGCGUGCAAAGGCUCCCUCAGGCUGGUUGGACAUCAGUCGUAGAGUGUAAAGGCAUAAGGGAGCUUGACUGCGAGACCAACAAGUCGAGCAGAGACGAAAGUCGGCCUUAGUGAUCCGGCGCUUCCGAGUGGAAGGGGCGUCGCUCAACGGAUAAAAGUUACUCUAAGGAUAACAGGCUGAUCUCCCCCAAGAGUUCACAUCGACGGGGAGGUUUGGCACCUCGAUGUCGGCUCAUCGCAUCCUGGGGCGGUAGUACGUCCCAAGGGUUGGGCUGUUCGCCCAUGAAAGCGGUACGCGAGCUGGGUUCAGAACGUCGUGAGACAGUUCGGUCCAUAUCCGGUGCAGGCGUUAGAGUAUUGCGAAGACUCCUCCUUAGUACGAGAGGACCGGGGGGAAUGCACCGCUGGUGUACCAGUUAUCGUGCCAACGGUAAACGCUGGGUAGCCAAGUGCAGUUUGGAUAACUGCUGAAAGCAUCUAAGUAGGAAGCCAGCUUCAAGAUGAGUACUCUCACCGCUUCAAGCGGGUAAGAUCACGGCAAGAACAGCCGUUUGAUAGGCAUCAAGUGUAAGUGCAGUAAUGUAUUCAGCUGAGAUGUACUAAUAGAUCGAGGGCUUAUU